AGAAUCAACGCUGGCGGCGUGCCUAACACAUGCAAGUCGAACGAGAAAGUGGAGCAAUCCAUGAGUAAAGUGGCGACCGGGUGAGUAACACGUGACUAACCUACCUUCGAGUGGGGAAUAACCUCGGGAAACCGGGGCUAAUACCGCAUAAUGUCUUCGGACCAAAGGAGCAAUUCGCUUGAAGAGGGGGUCGCGGCCGAUUAGCUAGUUGGCGGGGUAACGGCCCACCAAGGCGAUGAUCGGUAGCCGGCCUGAGAGGGCGCACGGCCACACUGGAACUGAAACACGGUCCAGACUCCUACGGGAGGCAGCAGUGGGGAAUUUUGCGCAAUGGGGGAAACCCUGACGCAGCAACGCCGCGUGGAGGAUGAAGCCCCUUGGGGUGUAAACUCCUUUCGACCAAGACGAUAAUGACGGUACUGGUGGAAGAAGCACCGGCUAACUCUGUGCCAGCAGCCGCGGUAAUACAGAGGGUGCAAGCGUUGUUCGGAAUUAUUGGGCGUAAAGGGCGCGUAGGCGGCGCGACAAGUCACCUGUGAAAUCUCCGGGCUUAACUCGGAGCCUGCAGGCGAAACUGUCGUGCUGGAGUAUGGGAGAGGUGCGUGGAAUUCCCGGUGUAGCGGUGUAAUGCGUAGAUAUCGGGAGGAACACCUGUGGCGAAAGCGGCGCACUGGGCCAUAACUGACGCUGAGGCGCGAAAGCUAGGGGAGCAAACAGGAUUAGAUACCCUGGUAGUCCUAGCCCUAAACGAUGAUUGCUUGGUGUAGCAGUACCCAAUCCUGCUGUGCCGCAGCUAACGCGAUAAGCAAUCCGUCUGGGGAGUACGGUCGCAAGGCUGAA
RNAcentral lists this ribosomal RNA (840 nucleotides) under uncultured soil bacterium. RNAcentral describes it as "bacterial SSU rRNA". It matches the Rfam family "Bacterial small subunit ribosomal RNA", at positions 26 to 898 of the family's 1533-position model. The record is from RNAcentral.